GAUGAACGCUGGCGGCGUGCCUAAUACAUGCAAGUCGAGCGAACGGACGAGAAGCUUGCUUCUCUGAUGUUAGCGGCGGACGGGUGAGUAACACGUGGAUAACCUUCCUAUAAGACUGGGAUAACUUCGGGAAACCGGAGCUAAUACCGGAUGAUAUUUUGAACCGCAUGGUUCAAAAGUGAAAGACGGUCUUGCUGUCACUUAUAGAUGGAUCCGCGCUGCAUUAGCUAGUUGGUAAUGUAACGGCUUACCAAGGCAACGAUGCAUAGCCGACCUGAGAGGGUGAUCGGCCACACUGGAACUGAGACACGGUCCAGACUCCUACGGGAGGCAGCAGUAGGGAAUCUUCCGCAAUGGGCGAAAGCCUGACGGAGCAACGCCGCGUGAGUGAUGAAGGUCUUCGGAUCGUAAAACUCUGUUAUUAGGGAAGAACAUAUGUGUAAGUAACUGUGCACAUCUUGACGGUACCUAAUCAGAAAGCCACGGCUAACUACGUG
RNAcentral lists this ribosomal RNA (497 nucleotides) under uncultured bacterium. Its description in RNAcentral is "partial 16S ribosomal RNA". It matches the Rfam family "Bacterial small subunit ribosomal RNA", at positions 28 to 507 of the family's 1533-position model. The record is from RNAcentral.